CGGCGGCGGCGGCGGCGGCGGCUCCGGCUCCGGCUCCGGCUCCGGUUGAGCGGGCGAGGAGGAGGAGGAGGAAGGGCUGUGCGGCGGCUGCGCCUCUGCGUGUGUCGGCGGGCGGGUGGCCGGGAUGGAGCACCACCAGCCCGCCAGCCGCUACCAAGUGAUAAGAAGUAGCUGGACUCCUCCGUGUAGCUUGUUCCUUCUGCGAUGUUCAGGGGAGACUCGUAGAGAAUCAGCAGAGGUCCUGAAGUCAUUGGCUCUUCUUUACAAAGUCAAAUGA
RNAcentral lists this long non-coding RNA (277 nucleotides) under Apteryx haastii (Great spotted kiwi). Its description in RNAcentral is "lncRNA (ENSAHAG00000000243.1)". Lineage: Eukaryota; Metazoa; Chordata; Aves; Apterygiformes; Apterygidae. The record is from RNAcentral.